UUUAGGGGUAAACGGGAGAAAUCCGAAAAUCUGAAGGAAGUGAUUCACGUAUUAUCUACAUUUUAUAUUAUACUUGAUUGAUGAUUAUUAAACUCCUUGUAUGCAAUUUAUUGUAUAUUAAGGGUUCCGUUUAAUAUCACAUUUCAUAUAUAAAUAAAUAUUAUGUGGUUUACCGCAUUUCAAACCUUCCUUAAUACAGAAAACGUCGCAACCCAUUGGAUUCCAGUCUAAGAUAUUAUAGGAAGUCUCAUAGAAACUUGCAUUUUUUUAUGUAUAGUUCUUUUAUGUAGACCUAUAAAUUUUCUGACUGAUUAUUCGAUGGUAUCAAAAUAAAUAAGAUUAACCCGCGUAUAACGCGUUUGAGUAUAUUUAGUUAUUAUUUGUAUUCCAUUUGUGAUUAUUUUUAGUUCGGUCCAAAAGGCCCGUCUAGAGAUUAGCAUUGGAUAUGAAUAUAUUCUCAAACAGUGGUAAUCUUUGUUUGCGGCGAAUAUGUUUCGGAAUUUCGCCCGACCC
Molecule: ribosomal RNA, 513 nt
Filed under: Anechura harmandi
Lineage: Eukaryota; Metazoa; Arthropoda; Insecta; Dermaptera; Forficulidae
Description: partial 28S ribosomal RNA
Source: RNAcentral